GACAGAGGGUGCUAGCGUUGUUCGGAAUUACUGGGCGUAAAGGGCGCGUAGGCGGCCUGGUCAGUCGGAUGUGAAAGCCCGGGGCUCAACCCCGGAACGGCAUCCGAGACGGCCAGGCUGGAGACCGGGAGAGGAGAGUGGAAUAGCCAGUGUAGAGGUGAAAUUCGUAGAUAUUGGCUGGAACACCGGUGGCGAAAGCGGCUCUCUGGCCCGGUUCUGACGCUGAGGCGCGAAAGCGUGGGGAGCAAACAGG
This 253-nucleotide ribosomal RNA is filed under the name uncultured bacterium. Its description in RNAcentral is "partial 16S ribosomal RNA". It matches the Rfam family "Bacterial small subunit ribosomal RNA", at positions 524 to 776 of the family's 1533-position model. The record is from RNAcentral.